RNAcentral lists this small nuclear RNA (113 nucleotides) under Ovis aries (sheep). RNAcentral's name for it is "U4 spliceosomal RNA (ENSOARG00000024131.1)". The record is from RNAcentral. Lineage: Eukaryota; Metazoa; Chordata; Mammalia; Artiodactyla; Bovidae.
AGCUUUGUGCAGUGGCAGUAUCAUAGCCAGUGAGAUUUAUCCAAGGCUCGAUUAUUGCUAAACGGAAAAAAAAGAAAGCUGAGUCCCAGUGAGAGUUGUCAUCUGUAAACAGG